Molecule: transfer RNA, 72 nt
Filed under: Frankiaceae bacterium
Lineage: Bacteria; Bacillati; Actinomycetota; Actinomycetes; Frankiales; Frankiaceae
Description: tRNA-Gln
Rfam family: tRNA
About the family: Transfer RNA (tRNA) molecules are approximately 80 nucleotides in length. Their secondary structure includes four short double-helical elements and three loops (D, anti-codon, and T loops). Further hydrogen bonds mediate the characteristic L-shaped molecular structure. tRNAs have two regions of fundamental functional importance: the anti-codon, which is responsible for specific mRNA codon recognition, and the 3' end, to which the tRNAs corresponding amino acid is attached (by aminoacyl-tRNA synthetases). tRNAs cope with the degeneracy of the genetic code in two manners: having more than one tRNA (with a specific anti-codon) for a particular amino acid; and 'wobble' base-pairing, i.e. permitting non-standard base-pairing at the 3rd anti-codon position.
Source: RNAcentral
UCCGGGUUCGUCCAAUGGCGAGGACACGGGGCUCUGAACCCCGAGAUCGACGUUCGAGUCCUUGGCCCGGAG